RNAcentral lists this ribosomal RNA (550 nucleotides) under uncultured Glomeromycotina. RNAcentral describes it as "SSU rRNA". It matches the Rfam family "Eukaryotic small subunit ribosomal RNA", at positions 548 to 1098 of the family's 1831-position model. Lineage: Eukaryota; Fungi; Glomeromycota. The record is from RNAcentral.
UUGGAGGGCAAGUCUGGUGCCGCAGCCGCGGUAAUUCCAGCUCCAAUGGCGUAUAUUAAAGUUGUUGCAGUUAAAAAGCUCGUAGUUGAACUUCGGGGUCUACCCAUUGGUCAGGCUUAAUUGUCUGCACUGGUGAGAUGGAUCUCUACCUUCUGAGGAACUUUCAUGCCAUUUAUUUGGUGUGAUGGGAAAUCAGGACUGUUACUUUGAAAAAAUUAGAGCGUUUGAAGCAGACUAUCGUCUGAAUACAUUAGCAUGGAAUAAUGAAAUAGGACGGACUGAUUCUAUUUCGUUGGUUUCUAGGAUCACCGUAAUGAUUAAUAGGGAUAGUUGGGGGCAUUAGUAUUCAAUUGUCAGAGGUGAAAUUCUUGGAUUUAUUGAAGACUAACUACUGCGAAAGCAUUUGCCAAGGAUGUUUUCAUUAAUCAAGAACGAAAGUUAGGGGAUCGAAGACGAUCAGAUACCGUCCUGGUCUUAACCAUAAACUAUGCCGACUAGGGAUCGGAUGAUGUUAAUUUUUUAAUGACUCAUUCGGCGCCUUACGGGAAAC